AGAUUCGUCCAAAAUCUGCAAAUCGUGUAAGUGACGGAUUGGGUGAUUCACGAUCAUCUCGACCUGAGCGAGAAAAGCUUUAUCCUGCUCACAAGAAUCCAAUAUCAUUCAAUAAAAAAAAUGUGAAUGAGAAAUUGCACGGCACGUCUACUAACAAAGUUGGAAAGCAUAUUAUUACUGUGCCACUCAAACAGAAGUCCAUAUCAAAAUCAAACAACCAAAACAAACUAAUAAAUCUCCCCGACCAGGACACUAUAAAGAAAUACGAAGAUUUAGAAAUAAAACAAGAUUUUUCCGAUACAAGCACCUUGUGCAAUGAAAUAGAAGACGUUUUCGUGGAGUACG
Molecule: long non-coding RNA, 345 nt
Organism: Vanessa tameamea
Lineage: Eukaryota; Metazoa; Arthropoda; Insecta; Lepidoptera; Nymphalidae
Exons: 4
Source: RefSeq, a predicted model, not a curated record